This 364-nucleotide unclassified non-coding RNA is filed under the name Hevea brasiliensis (rubber tree). The record is from RNAcentral. Lineage: Eukaryota; Viridiplantae; Streptophyta; Magnoliopsida; Malpighiales; Euphorbiaceae.
GAAAAACCGAUAAGCUGUGCCUCUACAUUCUUGAUUUUCCGGUGAUGAAACAGCUUCAGUAUCAGCACCAUCUGGGCCUUAAACACAAUGUUUUCAUGCCCAUGGCGAUGCCGCUAUCUACACCUCCAUUAAUCCCUCUUCCAACACUUGCCCUUAAACUCAAAACUUCACUUAUUACUCCAAUUUCCUCAACUCGUCUUCUCUGUAAAUUCAAUGAUUCCGAUAUGACCUCACAGCUGGAAAUUCUGAAGCCUGAAGGGAAGAAGCCAGACAAGGGUGUCAAUGGGAUUUUCUGGAUUCUACUUCUUAACCUGGGAAUAUAUGUAGCAGAUCAUGUUUUCCAGGUUCGGGCAGUAAAAGCAUU